This 326-nucleotide unclassified non-coding RNA is filed under the name soil metagenome. RNAcentral's name for it is "partial contains 5.8S ribosomal RNA, internal transcribed spacer 2, and large subunit ribosomal RNA". The stretch from base 1 to 120 matches the Rfam family "5.8S ribosomal RNA", at positions 35 to 154 of the family's 154-position model. The record is from RNAcentral.
GAUGAAGAACGUAGCGAAAUGCGAUAAUUAAUGUGAAUUGCAGAAUUCAGUGAAUCAUCGAAUCUUUGAACGCACAUUGCGCCCCUUGGUAUUCCGAGGGGCAUGCCUGUUCGAGCGUCAUAUUAACCACUCCCGCUUGCGGGGUCUUGGGCUUCGCCUCCGGGCGGGCCUUAAAAUCAGUGGCGGUGCCGUCGGGCUCUACGCGUAGUAAAUUUUCUCGCGAUAGGGUCCCGGUGGAUGCUUGCCAACAACCCCCAACUUCUUAAGGUUGACCUCGGAUCAGGUAGGGAUACCCGCUGAACUUAAGCAUAUCAAUAAGCGGAGGA